RNAcentral lists this ribosomal RNA (853 nucleotides) under uncultured Verrucomicrobiae bacterium. RNAcentral's name for it is "bacterial SSU rRNA". It matches the Rfam family "Bacterial small subunit ribosomal RNA", at positions 67 to 902 of the family's 1533-position model. The record is from RNAcentral. Lineage: Bacteria; Pseudomonadati; Verrucomicrobiota; Verrucomicrobiia.
UUUUUUCCUGUAGCAAUACAGGGAAACGUCUAGCGGCGAACGGGUGCUUAACACGUGGGCAAUCUGCCGAGAAGUGGGGGAUAGCUCGCCGAAAGGCGAAUUAAUACCGCAUGUGAUUAGAGUGGACAUCCAUUCAAAAUCAAAGUCGGGGCAACCUGACGCUUCUUGAGGAGCCCGCGGCCUAUCAGCUAGUUGGUGAGGUAACGGCCCACCAAGGCUUUGACGGGUAGCUGGUCUGAGAGGACGACCAGCCACACUGGGACUGAGACACGGCCCAGACACCUACGGGUGGCAGCAGUCGAGAAUUUUUCUCAAUGGGGGAAACCCUGAAGGAGCGACGCCGCGUGGAGGAUGAAGGUCUUCGGGUUGUAAACUCCUGUCAUUUGGGAACAAUGCGUAAAUAUUAACUGUAUUUGCGUUGAUAGUACCAGAAGAGGAAGAGACGGCUAACUCUGUGCCAGCAGCCGCGGUAAUACAGAGGUCUCAAGCGUUGUUCGGAUUCAUUGGGCGUAAAGGGUGCGUAGGCGGCGCGGUAAGUCGGGUGUGAAAUCUCGGGGCUUAACUCCGAAACUGCAUUCGAUACUGCCGUGCUUGAGGACUGGAGAGGAGACUGGAAUUUACGGUGUAGCGGUGAAAUGCGUAGAUAUCGUAAGGAAGACCAGUGGCGAAGGCGGGUCUCUGGACAGUUCCUGACGCUGAGGCACGAAGGCCAGGGGAGCAAACGGGAUUAGAUACCCCGGUAGUCCUGGCAGUAAACGGUGCACGUUUGGUGUGGGAGGAUUCGACCCCUUCUGCGCCGGAGCUAACGCGUUAAACGUGCCGCCUGGGGAGUACGGUCGCAAGAUUAAAACUC